AAAACAAAUCAGCUCAAAAUAUGUUCUGUCUCCUGCAGCCUGGGUCCCAGUGGCAACAGAUGCUGGAGAGGUGAGGCAUCCCCAUGCUGCUGCCCAAUUGGCUGUCCCCCAAGCUCCUUCUGUGGUGGCAAUUCUUUGAUCACACUGACACUUGCUCUGAAGAUAUCUACUCCACUCAAGGUGGCCUUCUCACCUCUGGAAGGAGGCCAGGAAAGCUGCAGUUUUCGCCUCAUAUCAGGUGUCUUGGCAGAAACUGAACCCAAGUCUGGAUGUAGCCUGAGGAGAAGAGAGCAUAGCUAGCCCAUCACUGCCCUUGUUCUGGGAUCCAGAAUCCAUUUGGAGUGGCCUCUUACAAGUACCUUUUGAGCAGCUGCAUCUACGUGGAGGUACAUGUGAGGCUGGCAGAGGCACCUCAGGGACUGGCUCUAAGAUGAAGACAGAUUGUUGGAGAACAGCGUCCCCGCUCCGUGUCUCCGCCCGCCCCCCACACCCACAGACCUCAGUGGUUGCCCAGUUCCCUGGUCUCCUGAGAGGGCUGCUAAUGAAGGGGAAGAGCCAUUUACAAACCUGAGCCGAUGCAAACUACUCUGGCUCCCACUGGAGAAGCCAUAAGUGGCUUGUGUCAGCUGGGUGGCCUUACAGAAAACCCAAUCUCAUAAUCGAAGUCUGUAAUUCAGUCUCAAUUACCAUGGUGUCCUACCGCACCAGCCAGCUGCAAAGUUUGUCCUGCGUUUGGUGAAUUACCCAUCUCCCUCCAAAGAGCCACAAUAAAGGAAUUUGACACCAUUUACCAUAUGUUGCCUCUUUUUUUUUUUCCCUUUUGCUGAGAAAUGAUUUCUAAAUUGCACCCACUCAUUUGUCCUGCAACCUUGAGGACCCAGCCAGAUCCCAAAGAGGGAAGCAGUGGCAAAAAUUCUCAUGCUGAGAGAUGAAGAACUUUGCACCCAAGCAAGUGUCCCAGUGACCAGAAUGGAGUUGGGUGGGUAUAUUCAUCUCACUCCCUGACUAAUGAGCAGUCUGUUAGGUGUCUGGAGACUUUGAACUUCGGCUGAUUUUCUUGGGUUGGUGGUUCUUUGAAAAGGACAGGAUCAUAAUUUUGGCUUCAGUAGGCAAUGAGACAGAUGUUAAAUGUGGUUUUUGUUCGAUAUUUUCUCAGAGGGGUUGGGCAGCACCAUGUUAUGCACUAGGAUCUUAGGAAAACCUUGCGUAUUCCUCUUCCCUCUCAACCUGACUCAUUUCUCCAAAGGGUCAGGAGUAUAUCAGACCUGAAGCUAGAUACAAAAACAAAAACAAAAAAACCCACAGGAUGUAUCAAGUUUAGCUUACUAGAUCUUAAGGGAGAAAGCAUGCACUCAGGACUCAGAGGU
This is a non-coding RNA of Sus scrofa (pig), 1367 nucleotides long. The record is from RefSeq and is a predicted model, not a curated record. NCBI's taxonomy places the organism in Eukaryota, Metazoa, Chordata, Mammalia, Artiodactyla, Suidae.